Molecule: ribosomal RNA, 328 nt
Filed under: uncultured Lactobacillus sp.
Lineage: Bacteria; Bacillati; Bacillota; Bacilli; Lactobacillales; Lactobacillaceae
Description: bacterial SSU rRNA
Rfam family: Bacterial small subunit ribosomal RNA
Source: RNAcentral
UUCUGCGUAUCACUCUUGGGAUGGGACCUGCGGGUGCAUUAGCUAGUUGGUAGGGUAACGGCCUACCAAGGCGAUGAUGCAUAGCCGAGUUGAGAGACUGAUCGGCCACAUUGGGACUGAGACACGGCCCAAACUCCUACGGGAGGCAGCAGUAGGGAAUCUUCCACAAUGGACGCAAGUCUGAUGGAGCAACGCCGCGUGAGUGAAGAAGGUUUCGGCUCGUAAAGCUCUGUUGUUGGUGAAGAAGGACAGGGGUAGUAACUGACCUUUGUUUGACGGUAAUCAAUUAGAAAGUCACGGCUAACUACGUGCCAGCAGCCGCGGUAAU